GGCCGCUUGGCCCAAUGGUAAGGCGUCUGACUACGAUCGGGUGUGGUAAAACACGCUUGACAAGCAAUCAGGAGAUUCUGGGUUCGAGCCCCAGGGUGGUCA
Molecule: non-coding RNA, 102 nt
Organism: Hypoxylon fragiforme
Lineage: Eukaryota; Fungi; Ascomycota; Sordariomycetes; Xylariales; Hypoxylaceae
Source: the annotation of a RefSeq genome assembly